This 67-nucleotide transfer RNA is filed under the name Bradysia amoena. RNAcentral's name for it is "tRNA-Trp". Lineage: Eukaryota; Metazoa; Arthropoda; Insecta; Diptera; Sciaridae. The record is from RNAcentral.
UAAAUUUUAAGUUAAUAAAACUAAUAACCUUCAAAGUUAUAAAUAAAAAAAAAAAUUUUAAAUUUAA